GGGCCCGUAGCUCAGCUAGGUUAGAGCGGCGGGCUCCAGACCCGUAGGUCGGGGGUUCAAGUCCCCUCGGGCCCACCA
Molecule: transfer RNA, 78 nt
Filed under: Caldisphaera lagunensis DSM 15908
Lineage: Archaea; Thermoproteati; Thermoproteota; Thermoprotei; Acidilobales; Acidilobaceae
Description: tRNA-Trp (CCA) (tRNA-Trp-CCA-1-1)
Rfam family: tRNA
About the family: Transfer RNA (tRNA) molecules are approximately 80 nucleotides in length.
Source: RNAcentral